GACGAACGCUGGCGGCGUGCUUAACACAUGCAAGUCGAACGAUGAAGCCCAGCUUGCUGGGUGGAAGAGUGGCGAACGGGUGAGUAACACGUGAGUAACCUGCCCUGAACUCUGGGAUAAGCACUGGAAACGGUGUCUAAUACUGGAUACGACCUAUCACCGCAUGGUGUGUGGGUGGAAAGAUUUAUCGGUUCUGGAUGGACUCGCGGCCUAUCAGCUAGAUGGUGAGGUAAUGGCUCACCAUGGCGACGACGGGUAGCCGGCCUGAGAGGGUGACCGGCCACACUGGGACUGAGACACGGCCCAGACUCCUACGGGGGGCAGCAGUGGGGAAUAUUGCACAAUGGGCGCAAGCCUGAUGCAGCAACGCCGCGUGAGGGAUGACGGCCUUCGGGUUGUAAACCUCUUUUAGUAGGGAAGAAGCGAAAGUGACGGUACCUGCAGAAAAAGCACCGGCUAACUACGUG
This 467-nucleotide ribosomal RNA is filed under the name uncultured bacterium. RNAcentral describes it as "partial 16S ribosomal RNA". It matches the Rfam family "Bacterial small subunit ribosomal RNA", at positions 28 to 507 of the family's 1533-position model. The record is from RNAcentral.